Molecule: ribosomal RNA, 636 nt
Filed under: Lacticaseibacillus rhamnosus
Lineage: Bacteria; Bacillati; Bacillota; Bacilli; Lactobacillales; Lactobacillaceae
Description: bacterial SSU rRNA
Rfam family: Bacterial small subunit ribosomal RNA
Source: RNAcentral
UUGAUUUAUUUUUGAACGAGUGGCGGACGGGUGAGUAACACGUGGGUAACCUGCCCUUAAGUGGGGGAUAACAUUUGGAAACAGAUGCUAAUACCGCAUAAAUCCAAGAACCGCAUGGUUCUUGGCUGAAAGAUGGCGUAAGCUAUCGCUUUUGGAUGGACCCGCGGCGUAUUAGCUAGUUGGUGAGGUAACGGCUCACCAAGGCAAUGAUACGUAGCCGAACUGAGAGGUUGAUCGGCCACAUUGGGACUGAGACACGGCCCAAACUCCUACGGGAGGCAGCAGUAGGGAAUCUUCCACAAUGGACGCAAGUCUGAUGGAGCAACGCCGCGUGAGUGAAGAAGGCUUUCGGGUCGUAAAACUCUGUUGUUGGAGAAGAAUGGUCGGCAGAGUAACUGUUGUCGGCGUGACGGUAUCCAACCAGAAAGCCACGGCUAACUACGUGCCAGCAGCCGCGGUAAUACGUAGGUGGCAAGCGUUAUCCGGAUUUAUUGGGCGUAAAGCGAGCGCAGGCGGUUUUUUAAGUCUGAUGUGAAAGCCCUCGCGUUAACCGAGGAAGUGCAUCGGAAACUGGGAAACUUGAGUGCAGAAGAGGACAGUGGAACUCCAUGUGUAGCGGUGAAAUGCGUAGAUUUG